GAAUGCUUUACACAUGCAAGUCGAGCGGCAGCGCGGGGCAACCUGGCGGCGAGCGGCGAACGGGUGAGUAACACAUCGGAACGUACCCUGUCGUGGGGGAUAACGAAUCGAAAGAUUCGCUAAUACCGCAUACGACCUGAGGGUGAAAGCGGGGGAUCGCAAGACCUCGCGCGAUAGGAGCGGCCGAUGUCGGAUUAGCUAGUUGGUGGGGUAAAGGCUCACCAAGGCGACGAUCCGUAGCUGGUCUGAGAGGAUGAUCAGCCACACUGGGACUGAGACACGGCCCAGACUCCUACGGGAGGCAGCAGUGGGGAAUUUUGGACAAUGGGGGCAACCCUGAUCCAGCCAUUCCGCGUGAGUGAAGAAGGCCUUCGGGUUGUAAAGCUCUUUCGGCAGGAACGAAACGGUGAGGGCUAAUACCUCUUAUCAAUGACGGUACCUGAAGAAGAAGCACCGGCUAACUACGUGCCAGCAGCCGCGGUAAUACGUAGGGUGCGAGCGUUAAUCGGAAUUACUGGGCGUAAAGCGUGCGCAGGCGGUUUUGUAAGACAGAUGUGAAAUCCCGGGCCUAACCUGGGAACUGCGUUUGUGACUGCAAGACUAAAGUGCGGCAGAGGGGGGGUGGAAUUCCCCGUGUAGCANUGAAUUGC
This 650-nucleotide ribosomal RNA is filed under the name uncultured beta proteobacterium. Its description in RNAcentral is "bacterial SSU rRNA". It matches the Rfam family "Bacterial small subunit ribosomal RNA", at positions 42 to 689 of the family's 1533-position model. The record is from RNAcentral. Lineage: Bacteria; Pseudomonadati; Pseudomonadota; Betaproteobacteria.